This 500-nucleotide ribosomal RNA is filed under the name uncultured bacterium. RNAcentral describes it as "partial 16S ribosomal RNA". It matches the Rfam family "Bacterial small subunit ribosomal RNA", at positions 29 to 523 of the family's 1533-position model. The record is from RNAcentral.
AUUGAACGCUGGCGGCAUGCCUUACACAUGCAAGUCGAACGGCAGCACGGGAGCGAUCCUGGUGGCGAGUGGCGAACGGGUGAGUAAAGUAUCGGAACGUGCCCAGUCGUGGGGGAUAACGUAGCGAAAGCUACGCUAAUACCGCAUACGAUCUAUGGAUGAAAGCGGGGGAUCGCAAGACCUCGCGCGAUUGGAGCGGCCGAUAUCAGAUUAGGUAGUUGGUGGGGUAAAGGCCCACCAAGCCGAAGAUCUGUAGCUGGUCUGAGAGGACGACCAGCCACACUGGGACUGAGACACGGCCCAGACUCCUACGGGAGGCAGCAGUGGGGAAUUUUGGACAAUGGGCGCAAGCCUGAUCCAGCAAUGCCGCGUGCAGGAUGAAGGCCUUCGGGUUGUAAACUGCUUUUGUACGGAGCGAAAAGGUCUCCUCUAAUACAGGGGGCUCAUGACGGUACCGUAAGAAUAAGCACCGGCUAACUACGUGCCAGCCGCCGCAGUAA